RNAcentral lists this ribosomal RNA (356 nucleotides) under uncultured bacterium. RNAcentral describes it as "partial 16S ribosomal RNA". It matches the Rfam family "Bacterial small subunit ribosomal RNA", at positions 338 to 686 of the family's 1533-position model. The record is from RNAcentral.
CCUACGGGAGGCAGCAGUGGGGAAUAUUGCGCACUGGGCGAAAGCCUGACGCAGCGACGCCGCGUGAGGGAUGAAGGUCUUCGGAUCGUUAACCUCUGUCUGCAGGGAAGUACGGUCACUUUGCUAAUCAUCAGUGAAUUGACGGUACCUGCAAAGGAAGCACCGGCUAACUCCGUGCCAGCAGCCGCGGUAAUACGGAGGGUGCGUGCGUUAAUCGGAAUUACUGGGCGUAAAGCGCUCGUAGGCGGUAUGUUAAGUCAAGGGUGAAAUCCCCGCGCUCAACGUGGGAACUGCCUUUGAAACUGGUAAACUAGAGAGUGUGAGAGGAUAGUGGAAUUGAAGGUGUAGGAGUGAAA